Molecule: ribosomal RNA, 465 nt
Filed under: Vreelandella stevensii
Lineage: Bacteria; Pseudomonadati; Pseudomonadota; Gammaproteobacteria; Oceanospirillales; Halomonadaceae
Description: partial 16S ribosomal RNA
Rfam family: Bacterial small subunit ribosomal RNA
Source: RNAcentral
CCUACGUGGGGCUGCAGUGGGGAAUAUUGGACAAUGGGCGAAAGCCUGAUCCAGCCAUGCCGCGUGUGUGAAGAAGGCCUUCGGGUUGUAAAGCACUUUCAGUGGGGAAGAAAGCCUUGGGGCUAAUACCCUCGAGGAAGGACAUCACCCACAGAAGAAGCACCGGCUAACUCCGUGCCAGCAGCCGCGGUAAUACGGAGGGUGCGAGCGUUAAUCGGAAUUACUGGGCGUAAAGCGCGCGUAGGCGGUCUGAUAAGCCGGUUGUGAAAGCCCCGGGCUCAACCUGGGAACGGCAUCCGGAACUGUCAGGCUAGAGUGCAGGAGAGGAAGGUAGAAUUCCCGGUGUAGCGGUGAAAUGCGUAGAGAUCGGGAGGAAUACCAGUGGAGAAGGCGGCCUUCUGGACUGACACUGACGCUGAGGUGCGAAAGCGUGGGUAGCAAACAGGAUUAGAUACCCCUGUAGUC